UGCAGGCUUAACACAUGCAAGUCGAACGCCCCGCAAGGGGAGUGGCAGACGGGUGAGUAACACGUGGGAACAUGCCCAAAGGUACGGAAUAUUCUCGGGAAACUGGGAGCAAUACCGUAUGUGCCCGAAAGGGGAAAGAUUUAUCGCCUUUGGAUUGGCCCGCGUUGGAUUAGCUAGUUGGUGGGGUAAAAGCCUACCAAGGCGACGAUCCAUAGCUGGUCUGAGAGGACGACCAGCCACACUGGGACUGAGACACGGCCCAGACUCCUACGGGAGGCAGCAGUGGGGAAUCUUGGACAAUGGGCGCAAGCCUGAUCCAGCCAUGCCGCGUGAGUGAUGAAGGCCCUAGGGUUGUAAAACUCUUUCGUGGGGGACGAUAAUGACGGUACCCCAAGAAAAGUCCGGCU
Molecule: ribosomal RNA, 407 nt
Filed under: uncultured bacterium
Lineage: Bacteria
Description: bacterial SSU rRNA
Rfam family: Bacterial small subunit ribosomal RNA
Source: RNAcentral